RNAcentral lists this ribosomal RNA (412 nucleotides) under uncultured bacterium. Its description in RNAcentral is "bacterial SSU rRNA". It matches the Rfam family "Bacterial small subunit ribosomal RNA", at positions 94 to 541 of the family's 1533-position model. The record is from RNAcentral.
AGCGGCAGACGGGUGAGUAACGCGUGGGAACCUACCUUUAGGUACGGAAUAACAGUUAGAAAUGACUGCUAAUACCGUAUGUGCCCGAGAGGGGAAAGAUUUAUCGCCUUUAGAUGGGCCCGCGUUGGAUUAGCUAGUUGGUGGGGUAAUGGCCUACCAAGGCGACGAUCCAUAGCUGGUUUGAGAGGAUGAUCAGCCACACUGGGACUGAGACACGGCCCAGACUCCUACGGGAGGCAGCAGUGGGGAAUAUUGGACAAUGGGGGAAACCCUGAUCCAGCCAUGCCGCGUGAGUGAUGAAGGCCUUAGGGUUGUAAAGCUCUUUCGCUGGGGAAGAUAAUGACGGUACCCAGUAAAGAAGCCCCGGCUAACUUCGUGCCAGCAGCCGCGGUAAUACGAAGGGGGCUAGCGU